UUGCAGUGAUGGAGAUUUUAAGUAAUUACUCCUCUCACCUCUGCUUAAUUUUUACUCUUUAUAGAGAUAUACAUACAUGGUCC
This is a non-coding RNA of Callorhinus ursinus (northern fur seal), 83 nucleotides long. The record is from RefSeq and is a predicted model, not a curated record. Lineage: Eukaryota; Metazoa; Chordata; Mammalia; Carnivora; Otariidae.